AUUGAACGCUGGCGGCAGGCCUAACACAUGCAAGUCGAGCGGAUGAAGGGAGCUUGCUCCUGGAUUCAGCGGCGGACGGGUGAGUAAUGCCUAGGAAUCUGCCUGGUAGUGGGGGAUAACGUCCGGAAACGGGCGCUAAUACCGCAUACGUCCUGAGGGAGAUAGUGGGGGAUCUUCGGACCUCACGCUAUCAGAUGAGCCUAGGUCGGAUUAGCUAGUUGGUGGGGUAAAGGCCUACCAAGGCGACGAUCCGUAGCUGGUCUGAGAGGAUGAUCAGUCACACUGGAACUGAGACACGGUCCUGACUCCUAAGGGAGGCAGCAGUGGGGAAUAUUAGACAAUGGGCGAAAGCCUGAUCCAGCCAUGCCGCGUGUGUGAAGAAGGUCUUCGGAUUGUAAAGCACUUUAAGUUGGGAGGAAGGGCAGUAAGUUAAUACCUUGCUGUUUUGACGUUACCAACAGAAUAAGCACCGGCUAACUUCGUG
Molecule: ribosomal RNA, 484 nt
Filed under: uncultured bacterium
Lineage: Bacteria
Description: partial 16S ribosomal RNA
Rfam family: Bacterial small subunit ribosomal RNA
Source: RNAcentral